GCCUUUUCUUUUCUCUUUCUUUCAAACGACACAAUAGAAUUUUUUUUCCUAAAGUUGUAUUAGGGAUUCACUUAAGCAGAAAUGAACUGUAAUAUGCAAAUAGUUCUAAUUGGACUGCUAAUAGAGCGUGUCUCUGUUGUUUUUUUGUACGGAGUUUUAUGCCUAUGUAAUCAGUGCAGACAGCCGUUAAGUAAAUGAAGAGGCAACUAACAAUGUCAGAAAAGAGACCGGGCGGUUCCGGCUGACACUACCCUAAUCUUCCAGGACCCAUUAAAUGGCAGUUUCAACGCAUUACCUACCAUAACAUCCUUGAAUAUCACUGAUUUUAUUUGCAGUAUCAAACAUUCCAUUUCAUGCCCCAUUAACAGUGGGAGCCUGAGCUUUUUGACGCAGCUAAACAUUUUACUAACUACCUGGACUAAGUAACCAAUUAACUUUUGGAGACAAUACGGCCAAUUAAGCGCGAAAAGGUAAGGCUGUCAUCCCCCACGAAAAUUGAAUUUCCUUUUCCUGAUGGCACUUAUUGUCACCGUUCAAUUGUUAAUGGAGAUUCGAUCCCUAUUAAAGUAUGAAGGCAAAGCAGAAUGGAAAAGUUCAGAGGACUUGGUUCCCGAAGAGUAGGUCACAAAGUGUCCCAACUGGCCACUAAUUCAGUUAACUUUUCUUCAUGCCAGAUUACUUAUUGGAUGUGACUGGAACAGGCCUCUAAUAUGACAGUCUGUGAUAGUACAUUGCACAAUCUGGUAGCUUGCGAGGAACCCACAGGCCCAGGGCGGUAGUUUGGGACCUUGUAUCGGAGGUUGAGGAGGAAAAAAAGUUAUUCGUUUUUAUUUUUGUUUUUGUUUUUUUGACAGCAGAAAUAUCAGCAUCUGACAAGAUAGUGCCCUGGUUAUCGCUGGCUUGGACUCCUCAGAGAGAAAAACAAAUCCAUGUAUGGAGAGGGGUGAAACUGAUUUACCUGAUGAAUGAUGAGCCUGGCAGGAGUAAUUGAGCCCACCUGGCUCAGCUGCUUCCUGGUUUUCCGGCAAAGGACUUACACUCUACUGACCUGGCAGUUCACUUAGCAGAGAAGGCCUUGUCCUCACCAGAAACUCCCUGGUUUCCAGUGCUGUCUGUCACAGAGUGGUGAGUUGAAUUUGGAGAAGAGCCACUUGGCUACCAGACCUAAGGCAGCCUUCUCCCAUCUAACCGGAAUAAAGGUAAUAUUUUGACCUCCA
Long non-coding RNA from Sapajus apella (tufted capuchin), 1217 nucleotides. RefSeq lists it as uncharacterized. The record is from RefSeq and is a predicted model, not a curated record. The transcript has 2 exons. NCBI's taxonomy places the organism in Eukaryota, Metazoa, Chordata, Mammalia, Primates, Cebidae.